RNAcentral lists this ribosomal RNA (457 nucleotides) under uncultured bacterium. RNAcentral's name for it is "partial 16S ribosomal RNA". It matches the Rfam family "Bacterial small subunit ribosomal RNA", at positions 338 to 795 of the family's 1533-position model. The record is from RNAcentral.
CCUACGGGAGGCAGCAGUGGGGAAUAUUGCACAAUGGGGGAAACCCUGAUGCAGCGACGCCGCGUGAGUGAAGAAGUAUUUCGGUAUGUAAAGCUCUAUCAGCAGGGAAGAAAUAAAGUCCUUCGGACUUUGGACGGUACCUGACUAAGAAGCACCGGCUAACUACGUGCCAGCAGCCGCGGCAAUACGUAGGGGGCAAGCGUUAUCCGGAUUUACUGGGUGUAAAGGGAGCGUAGGCGGCAGCGCAAGUCUGGAGUGAAAUCCCAUGGCUUAACCAUGGAACUGCUUUGGAAACUGUGCAGCUGGAGUGCAGGAGAGGUAAGCGGAAUUCCUGGUGUAGCGGUGAAAUGCGUAGAUAUUAGGAAGAACACCAGUGGCGAAGGCGGCUUACUGGACUGUAACUGACGUUGAGGCUCGAAAGCGUGGGGAGCAAACAGGAUUAGAUACCCUUGUAGUC